RNAcentral lists this ribosomal RNA (426 nucleotides) under uncultured bacterium. RNAcentral describes it as "bacterial SSU rRNA". It matches the Rfam family "Bacterial small subunit ribosomal RNA", at positions 356 to 773 of the family's 1533-position model. The record is from RNAcentral.
GGGGAAUCUUGCGCAAUGGGCGAAAGCCUGACGCAGCGACGCCGCGUGGGUGACGAAGGCCUUCGGGUUGUAAAGCCCUGUGGGGAGGAACGAACCGUCCGGGGGCCAAUACCCUCCGGGCCUGACGGUACCUCUUUAGCAAGCAUCGGCUAACUCUGUGCCAGCAGCCGCGGUAAGACAGAGGAUGCGAACGUUGCUCGGAAUUACUGGGCGUAAAGCGCGCGUAGGUGGCCUUGUAAGUCUCGUGUGAAAGCCCUCUGCUCAACGGAGGAAGUGCACGGGAUACUGCGAGGCUGGAGUACAGAAGAGGACAGCGGAAUUCCCGGUGUAGAGGUGAAAUUCGUAGAUAUCGGGAGGAACACCAGUGGCGAGGGCGGCUGUCUGGGCUGAUACUGACACUGAGGCGCGAAAGCGUGGGAAGCAAAC